Molecule: non-coding RNA, 276 nt
Organism: Chiloscyllium plagiosum (whitespotted bambooshark)
Lineage: Eukaryota; Metazoa; Chordata; Chondrichthyes; Orectolobiformes; Hemiscylliidae
Source: RefSeq, a predicted model, not a curated record
GUUUGUCUCCAGCUGGUGCAUGAGGUUCUUGCUGAGUCUCCAGCUGCUCUAACUCAUGCCAGUGGAAUUGGAGUCCGAAGAUUUUCAGGACCACCUUCAUCUCAGAACCUCCUCGACCGACUUGGUCAUAAUGUUCCCAGAACUCUUCCCUCGCUUUCAACUGAUGCCAAAGAACUGGUCAAAUCUGUUCGUGCCAUCAUUGAAGCAGACUGUCUGCCCUAUGGAUGGGAAGAAGCUUACACAGCAGACGGGAUUAAAUAUUUUAUCAAGUAAGUA